Molecule: ribosomal RNA, 466 nt
Filed under: uncultured Paracoccaceae bacterium
Lineage: Bacteria; Pseudomonadati; Pseudomonadota; Alphaproteobacteria; Rhodobacterales; Paracoccaceae
Description: bacterial SSU rRNA
Rfam family: Bacterial small subunit ribosomal RNA
Source: RNAcentral
CCUGAUCUAGCCAUGCCGCGUGAGUGAUGAAGGCCUUAGGGUCGUAAAGCUCUUUCGCCUGUGAUGAUAAUGACAGUAGCAGGUAAAGAAACCCCGGCUAACUCCGUGCCAGCAGCCGCGGUAAUACGGAGGGGGUUAGCGUUGUUCGGAAUUACUGGGCGUAAAGCGCACGUAGGCGGAUUGGAAAGUUGGGGGUGAAAUCCCGGGGCUCAACCCCGGAACUGCCUCCAAAACUAUCAGUCUAGAGUUCGAGAGAGGUGAGUGGAAUUCCAAGUGUAGAGGUGAAAUUCGUAGAUAUUUGGAGGAACACCAGUGGCGAAGGCGGCUCACUGGCUCGAUACUGACGCUGAGGUGCGAAAGUGUGGGGAGCAAACAGGAUUAGAUACCCUGGUAGUCCACACCGUAAACGAUGAAUGCCAGUCGUCGGGCAGUAUACUGUUCGGUGACACACCUAACGGAUUAAGCA